GCGGGUAUAGUUCAGUGGUAGAACACCUCCUUGCCAAGGAGGAUGUCGUGCGUUCGAGUCGCGUUACCCGCU
Molecule: transfer RNA, 72 nt
Filed under: Stigeoclonium sp. FACHB-2430
Lineage: Eukaryota; Viridiplantae; Chlorophyta; Chlorophyceae; Chaetophorales; Chaetophoraceae
Description: tRNA-Gly
Rfam family: tRNA
About the family: Transfer RNA (tRNA) molecules are approximately 80 nucleotides in length. Their secondary structure includes four short double-helical elements and three loops (D, anti-codon, and T loops).
Source: RNAcentral